GGGGGUACACGAGUGGCGGAUGGGUGCGUAGCGCGUAUGCAACCUGCCCCGCGCCGGGGGAUAGCCCGCGGAAACGCGGAAUAAUACCCCGUAGUGCCCUCUGCCCGCAUGGGCGUUGGGCGAUAGGCCUUCGGGCCGGCGCGGGAUGGGCAUGCGUGCCAUUAGCUGGUUGGUGCGGUAACGGCGCACCAAGGCUUCGAUGGCUCGGGGGCCUGAGAGGGUGGCCCCCCACACUGGGACUGAGACACGGCCCAGACUCCUACGGGAGGCAGCAGUGAGGGAUAUUGGUCAAUGGGCGGAAGCCUGAACCAGCCAUGCCGCGUGCCGGACGACGGCCCUACGGGUCGUAAACGGCUUUUCUGGGGGAGCAAUAAGGGCGGUUUGGCGCCCGAUGCGCGUACCGCAGGAAUAAGGACCGGCUAACUCCGUGCCAGCAGCCGCGGUAAUACGGAGGGUCCGAGCGUUAUCCGGAUUUACUGGGUUUAAAGGGCGCGCAGGCGGCGCGGUAAGUCGGUGGUGAAACCCCGGGGCUCAACCCCGGGCCUGCCGCCGAUACUGCCGGGCUCGAAUGCGGCCGAGGGCGGCGGAACGCGUGGUGUAGCGGUGAAAUGCGUAGAUAUCACGUGGAAGGCCGAUUGCGAAGGCAGCUGCCCGGGCCUGCAUUGACGCUGAGGCGCGAAAGGGAGUACGGCCGCAAGGCUGAAACUCAAAGGAAUUGACGGGGGCCCGCACAAGCGGAGGAACAUGUGGUUUAAUUCGAUGAUACGCGAGGAACCUUACCCGGGCUCGAACGCCGAGUGCAUGGGCCGGAGACGGCCCUUCCCCUCUGGGGCCCUCGGCGAGGUGCUGCAUGGUUGUCGUCAGCUCGUGCCGUGAGGUGUCGGGUUAAGUCCCAUAACGAGCGCAACCCCCGCCGCCAGUUGCCAUCGGGUGAUGCCGGGGACUCUGGCGGGACUGCCGGCGCAAGCCGCGAGGAGGGCGGGGAUGACGUCAAAUCAGCACGGCCCCUACGUCCGGGGCGACACACGUGUUACAAUGGCCGGUACAGCGGGCCGCCACCCCGCGAGGGGGCGCGAAUCCCGAAAGCCGGCCCCAGUUCGGAUCGGAGUCUGCAACCCGACUCCGUGAAGCUGGAUUCGCUAGUAAUCGCGCAUCAGCCACGGCGCGGUGAAUACGUUCCCGGGCCUUGUACACACCGCCCGUCAAGCCAUGGAAGCCGGGGGCGCCUGAAGCCCGUAGCCGCGAGGGGCGGCCUAGGGCGAACUCGGUGACUGGGGCUAAGUCGUAACAAGGUAGCCGUACCGGAAGGUGCGGCUG
This 1317-nucleotide ribosomal RNA is filed under the name oral metagenome. RNAcentral describes it as "bacterial SSU rRNA". It matches the Rfam family "Bacterial small subunit ribosomal RNA". The record is from RNAcentral.